GACGAACGCUGGCGGCGUGCUUAACACAUGCAAGUCGAACGGAAAGGCCCUGCUUUUGUGGGGUGCUCGAGUGGCGAGCGGGUGAGUAACACGUGAGUAACCUGCCCUUGACUUUGGGAUAACUUCAGGAAACUGGGGCUAAUACCGGAUAGGAGCUCCUGCUGCAUGGUGGGGGUUGGAAAGUUUCGGCGGUUGGGGAUGGACUCGCGGCUUAUCAGCUUGUUGGUGGGGUAGUGGCUUACCAAGGCUUUGACGGGUAGCCGGCCUGAGAGGGUGACCGGCCACAUUGGGACUGAGAUACGGCCCAGACUCCUACGGGAGGCAGCAGUGGGGAAUAUUGCACAAUGGGCGGAAGCCUGAUGCAGCAACGCCGCGUGCGGGAUGACGGCCUUCGGGUUGUAAACCGCUUUCGCCUGUGACGAAGCGUGAGUGACGGUAAUGGGUAAAGAAGCACCGGCUAACUACGUGCCAGCAGCCGCGGUGAUACGUAGGGUGCGAGCGUUGUCCGGAUUUAUUGGGCGUAAAGGGCUCGUAGGUGGUUGAUCGCGUCGGAAGUGUAAUCUUGGGGCUUAACCCUGAGCGUGCUUUCGAUACGGGUUGACUUGAGGAAGGUAGGGGAGAAUGGAAUUCCUGGUGGAGCGGUGGAAUGCGCAGAUAUCAGGAGGAACACCAGUGGCGAAGGCGGUUCUCUGGGCCUUUCCUGACGCUGAGGAGCGAAAGCGUGGGGAGCGAACAGGCUUAGAUACCCUGGUAGUCCACGCUGUAAACGGUGGGUACUAGGUGUGGGGUCCAUUCCACGGGUUCCGUGCCGUAGCUAACGCUUUAAGUACCCCGCCUGGGGAGUACGGCCGCAAGGCUAAAACUCAAAGGAAUUGACGGGGCCCCGCACAAGCGGCGGAGCAUGCGGAUUAAUUCGAUGCAACGCGUAGAACCUUACCUGGGUUUGACAUGGAUCGGGAGCGCUCAGAGAUGGGUGUGCCUCUUUUGGGGUCGGUUCACAGGUGGUGCAUGGCUGUCGUCAGCUCGUGUCGUGAGAUGUUGGGUUAAGUCCCGCAACGAGCGCAACCCUUGUUCACUGUUGCCAGCACGUUAUGGUGGGGACUCAGUGGAGACCGCCGGGGUCAACUCGGAGGAAGGUGGGGAUGACGUCAAGUCAUCAUGCCCCUUAUGUCCAGGGCUUCACGCAUGCUACAAUGGCUGGUACAGAGAGUGGCGAGCCUGUGAGGGUGAGCGAAUCUCGGAAAGCCGGUCUCAGUUCGGAUUGGGGUCUGCAACUCGACCUCAUGAAGUCGGAGUCGCUAGUAAUCGCAGAUCAGCAACGCUGCGGUGAAUACGUUCCCGGGGCU
Molecule: ribosomal RNA, 1346 nt
Filed under: uncultured bacterium
Lineage: Bacteria
Description: bacterial SSU rRNA
Rfam family: Bacterial small subunit ribosomal RNA
Source: RNAcentral